AAUCAACGCUGGCGGCGUGCCUCAGACAUGCAAGUCGAACGAUUAAGACUCCCUUCGGGGAGUGUAUAAAGUGGCGCACGGGUGAGUAACACGUAAGUAAUCUACCUUCGAGUGGGGAAUAACGUCCGGAAACGGACGCUAAUACCGCAUAAUGCAGCGGCAUCUAAUGAUGACAGUUGUUAAAGAUUUAUCGCUUGAAGAGGAGCUUGCGGCAGAUUAGCUAGUGGUAAGGUAAUGGCUUACCAAGGCUACGAUCUGUAACCGGUCUAAGAGGACGGUCGGUCACACUGACACUGAAUAACGGGUCAGACUCCUACGGGAGGCAGCAGUCGGGAAUUUUGGGCAAUGGGCGAAAGCCUGACCCAGCAACGCCGCGUGAAGGAUGAAGUAUUUCGGUAUGUAAACUUCGAAAGAAUGGGAAGAAUAAAUGACGGUACCAUUUAUAAGCUCCGGCUAACUACGUGCCAGCCGCCGCGGUAA
This 480-nucleotide ribosomal RNA is filed under the name uncultured bacterium. Its description in RNAcentral is "partial 16S ribosomal RNA". It matches the Rfam family "Bacterial small subunit ribosomal RNA", at positions 32 to 523 of the family's 1533-position model. The record is from RNAcentral.